This 253-nucleotide ribosomal RNA is filed under the name uncultured bacterium. RNAcentral's name for it is "partial 16S ribosomal RNA". It matches the Rfam family "Bacterial small subunit ribosomal RNA", at positions 524 to 776 of the family's 1533-position model. The record is from RNAcentral.
GACAGAGGGUGCGAACGUUGCUCGGAAUUACUGGGCGUAAAGCGCGUGCAGGCGGCCCUGCACGUCCGGUGUGAAAGCCCGGGGCUCAACCCCGAAGCGCGCUGGAAACGACGGGCUGGAGGGCUGGAGAGGCGGGCGGAAUUCCCGGUGUAGAGGUGAAAUUCGUAGAUAUCGGGAGGAACACCGGUGGCGAAAGGCGGCCCGCUGGACAGCGCCUGACGCUGAGACGCGAAAGCGUGGGUAGGCAAACAGG